RNAcentral lists this ribosomal RNA (831 nucleotides) under Pireneitega burqinensis. Its description in RNAcentral is "SSU rRNA". It matches the Rfam family "Eukaryotic small subunit ribosomal RNA", at positions 172 to 1001 of the family's 1831-position model. The record is from RNAcentral. Lineage: Eukaryota; Metazoa; Arthropoda; Arachnida; Araneae; Agelenidae.
UGCAGCAGAGCUCCGACCUUCGGGGACGAGCGCUUUUAUUAGACCAAAACCAAUCGGACCUCGUGUCCGUCCUUUGUGGUGACUCUGUAUAACUUUGGGCUGAUCGCACGGGCCUGUCCCGGCGACGUAUCUUUCAAGUGUCUGCCUUAUCAACUUUCGAUGGUAGGUUACGCGCCUACCAUGGUCGUAACGGGUAACGGGGAAUCAGGGUUCGAUUCCGGAGAGGGAGCCUGAGAAACGGCUACCACAUCCAAGGAAGGCAGCAGGCGCGCAAAUUACCCACUCCCAGAACGGGGAGGUAGUGACGAAAAAUAACAAUACGGGACUCUUUUGAGACCCCGUAAUUGGAAUGAGUACACUCUAAAUCCUUUAACGAGGAUCCAUUGGAGGGUAAGUCUGGUGCCAGCAACCGCGGUAAUUCCAGCUCCAAUAGCGUAUAUUAAAGUUGUUGCGGUUAAAAAGCUCGUAGUUGGAUCUCAGUUCCAGACGGGUGGUCCUCCUACCGGUGGCUACUGCCUGUUCUGAACAGUCAGCCGGUUUCUCUUGAUGAUCUUCAUCGGUUGUCUUGGGUGACCGGCAAGUUUACUUUGAAAAAAUUAGAGUGCUCAAAGCAGGCGUGACGCCUGAAUAAUGGUGCAUGGAAUAAUGGAAUAGGACCUCGGUUCUAUUUUGUUGGUUUUCGGAACACGAGGUAAUGAUUAAGAGGGACAGACGGGGGCAUUCGUAUUGCGACGCUAGAGGUGAAAUUCUUGGACCGUCGCAAGACGAACUACUGCGAAAGCAUUUGCCAAGAAUGUUUCCAUUAAUCAAGAACGAAAGUUAGAGGUUCGA